GCCAGUGUGGCGUAGUGGUUUGAGUAUUGGACUAUGACUCUGAAGACCAGAGUUCGAAUCCCUGCUGAGCUA
This is a non-coding RNA of Phrynosoma platyrhinos (Desert horned lizard), 72 nucleotides long. The record is from the annotation of a GenBank genome assembly. NCBI's taxonomy places the organism in Eukaryota, Metazoa, Chordata, Lepidosauria, Squamata, Phrynosomatidae.